UACGAGGGGAGCAAGCGUUGUUCGGAUUUACUGGGCGUAAAGGGCUCGUAGGUGGCCAACUAAGUCAGACGUGAAAUCCCUCGGCUUAACCGGGGAACUGCGUCUGAUACUGGAUGGCUUGAGUUCGGGAGAGGAAUGCGGAAUUCCAGGUGUAGCGGUGAAAUGCGUAGAUAUCUGGAGGAACACCGGUGGCGAAGGCGGCAUUCUGGACCGAUAUUGACGCUGAGGAGCGAAAGCCAGGGGAGCAAACGGG
RNAcentral lists this ribosomal RNA (253 nucleotides) under uncultured bacterium. RNAcentral's name for it is "partial 16S ribosomal RNA". It matches the Rfam family "Bacterial small subunit ribosomal RNA", at positions 524 to 776 of the family's 1533-position model. The record is from RNAcentral.